UACCGUCGUGCCAAGAAAAGCCUCUAAGCAUAUCCAUAGUCGUCCGUACCGCAAACCGACACAGGUAGAUGAGAUGAGUAUUCUAAGGCGCGUGAAAGAACUCUGGUUAAGGAACUCUGCAAACUAGCACCGUAAGUUCGCGAUAAGGUGUGCCGUAGCAAUGCGGUCUCAGCAAAGAGUCCCUCCCGACUGUUUACCAAAAACACAGCACUUUGCCAACUCGUAAGAGGAAGUAUAAGGUGUGACGCCUGCCCGGUGCUCGAAGGUUAAGAGGAUGCGUCAGUCGCAAGAUGAAGCGUUGAAUUGAAGCCCGAGUAAACGGCGGCCGUAACUAUAACGGUCCUAAGGUAGCGAAAUUCCUUGUCGGUUAAAUACCGACCUGCAUGAAUGGCGUAACGAGAUGGGAGCUGUCUCAACCAGAGAUUCAGUGAAAUUGUAGUGGAGGUGAAAAUUCCUCCUACCCGCGGCAAGACGGAAAGACCCCGUGGACCUUUACUACAGCUUAGCACUGCUAAUGGGAAUAUCAUGCGCAGG
This 534-nucleotide ribosomal RNA is filed under the name Helicobacter acinonychis. RNAcentral describes it as "bacterial LSU rRNA". It matches the Rfam family "Bacterial large subunit ribosomal RNA", at positions 1598 to 2142 of the family's 2925-position model. The record is from RNAcentral. Lineage: Bacteria; Pseudomonadati; Campylobacterota; Epsilonproteobacteria; Campylobacterales; Helicobacteraceae.